Molecule: microRNA, 21 nt
Filed under: Saccoglossus kowalevskii
Lineage: Eukaryota; Metazoa; Hemichordata; Enteropneusta; Harrimaniidae
Description: Sko-Mir-4835_5p* (star (passenger))
Source: RNAcentral
AGGUGGCUGGACAGCUUGGUG